AGUGAACGCUGGCGGUAGGCCUAACACAUGCAAGUCGAACGGCAGCACAGUAAGAGCUUGCUCUUACGGGUGGCGAGUGGCGGACGGGUGAGGAAUACAUCGGAAUCUACUUUUUCGUGGGGGAUAACGUAGGGAAACUUACGCUAAUACCGCAUACGACCUACGGGUGAAAGCAGGGGAUCUUCGGACCUUGCGCGAUUGAAUGAGCCGAUGUCGGAUUAGCUAGUUGGCGGGGUAAAGGCCCACCAAGGCGACGAUCCGUAGAUGGUCUGCGAGGAUGAACAGCCACACUGGAACAGAGACACGGUCCAGACUCCUACGGGAGGCAGCAGUGGGGAAUAUUGGACAAUGGGCGCAAGCCUGAUCCAGCCAUACCGCGUGGGUGAAGAAGGCCUUCGGGUUGUAAAGCCCUUUUGUUGGGAAAGAAAAGCAGCAGGUUAAUACCCCGCUGUUCUGACGGUACCCAAAGAAUAAGCACCGGCUAACUUCGUG
RNAcentral lists this ribosomal RNA (492 nucleotides) under uncultured bacterium. RNAcentral describes it as "partial 16S ribosomal RNA". It matches the Rfam family "Bacterial small subunit ribosomal RNA", at positions 29 to 507 of the family's 1533-position model. The record is from RNAcentral.